RNAcentral lists this ribosomal RNA (491 nucleotides) under uncultured bacterium. RNAcentral describes it as "partial 16S ribosomal RNA". It matches the Rfam family "Bacterial small subunit ribosomal RNA", at positions 29 to 506 of the family's 1533-position model. The record is from RNAcentral.
AGUGAACGCUGGCGGUAGGCCUAACACAUGCAAGUCGAACGGCAGCACAGUAAGAGCUUGCUCUUACGGGUGGCGAGUGGCGGACGGGUGAGGAAUACAUCGGAAUCUACUUUUUCGUGGGGGAUAACGUAGGGAAACUUACGCUAAUACCGCAUACGACCUACGGGUGAAAGCAGGGGAUCUUCGGACCUUGCGCGAUUGGAUGAGCCGAUGUCGGAUUAGCUAGUUGGCGGGGUAAAGGCCCACCAAGGCGACGAUCCGUAGCUGGUCUGAGAGGAUGAUCAGCCACACUGGAACUGAGACACGGUCCAGACUCCUACGGGAGGCAGCAGUGGGGAAUAUUGGACAAUGGGCGCAAGCCUGAUCCAGCCAUACCGCGUGGGUGAAGAAGGCCUUCGGGUUGUAAAGCCCUUUUGUUGGGAAAGAAAAGCAGCAGGUUAAGACCCCGCUGUUCUGACGGUACCCAAAGAAUAAGCACCGGCUAACUUCGU